Molecule: ribosomal RNA, 431 nt
Filed under: uncultured soil bacterium
Lineage: Bacteria
Description: bacterial SSU rRNA
Rfam family: Bacterial small subunit ribosomal RNA
Source: RNAcentral
AGAUUGAACGCUGGCGGCAGGCCUAACACAUGCAAGUCGAGCGGUAGAGAGGUGCUUGCACCUCUUGAGAGCGGCGGACGGGUGAGUAAUGCCUAGGAAUCUGCCUAGUGGUGGGGGAUAACGUUCGGAAACGGACGCUAAUACCGCAUACGUCCUACGGGAGAAAGCGGGGGACCUUCGGGCCUCGCGCCAUUAGAUGAGCCUAGGUCGGAUUAGCUAGUUGGUGAGGUAAUGGCUCACCAAGGCGACGAUCCGUAACUGGUCUGAGAGGAUGAUCAGUCACACUGGAACUGAGACGCGGUCCAGACUCCUACGGGAGCAGCAGUGGGGAAUAUUGGACAAUGGGACGAAAGCCUGAUCCAGCCAUGCCGCGUGUGUGAAGAAGGUCUUCGGAUUGUAAAGCUAACGUUUUAAAGGUUGGGGAAGGUAAA